CAUUAUGUAUACCGUCAAAUUUUACGGGAACAGCAAAACUGCAGUGCUACAAUCCAACAUCUAACAAAAUAAUAUAAAAGUACAUAUCAUGAAACUAUUUUGAAUUUAAUAGAAUUUUUAUCAAAGAAAUCUGAGUAACGAGUGAACAGGAGUACAUCUUAAGAUUUAAUGAUAAUUAGCACAAUAGAAAGAUCAAUCAUCUAGCAACAUCCUACAAGGGGUGAACCAGAGUCUCAUCUGUCCCGGCACAUUGUCUUCUCCAAGAAAAGAGAUUCAGAUUCAGCAUUCUGUAUAUCAAAUCUUAUGAGCACAGCAAAACUGCAGGGCUAUACCACCCAACAACAUCCUACAAGGGCUGAAUCAAGUGCCAUAGUAGUACAUGACAUGAUACGAUAUGCUUCCUGCGAAGCCAAUAGUAGCAGUUAACAUAAACUAACAUUGCAGGUUCAGUUUGCUGAACCGCAGGGGUUCUUCCAUCUACUCGCUUUGAUCGUCCACAGGGCAGGCUCAUCCCAGAAAUGUCAUUCGGAUCAGCGCUUCAUUUCUCCAGGUCUAUGCUCGGCUCCGGGUCGGCUGGAAGGCGCUUCUCCAGGUCCAGGCCCGGUUCCGGGUCCGAGCGAGGCUGCUUCUCCAGGUCCAGGCCCGGUUCCGGGUCCGGACGAGGCUGCUUCUCCAGGUCUAGGCUCAUCAUUUCUGGGUCUGGACGAGGUCGCUCCUCCAGGUCCAGGCUCGGUUCCGGGUCCGGAUGAGGCUGUUUUUCAAGGUCCAGGCUGGAC
This 776-nucleotide long non-coding RNA is filed under the name Triticum aestivum (bread wheat). Its description in RNAcentral is "long non-coding RNA (TAES_LNC021247)". The record is from RNAcentral. Lineage: Eukaryota; Viridiplantae; Streptophyta; Magnoliopsida; Poales; Poaceae.